Molecule: unclassified non-coding RNA, 804 nt
Filed under: Leguminivora glycinivorella
Lineage: Eukaryota; Metazoa; Arthropoda; Insecta; Lepidoptera; Tortricidae
Description: trafficking protein particle complex subunit 1, transcript variant X1
Source: RNAcentral
AUUUGACGUAUGACGUAUCGUAUGGGUGAUCUAUACGCUGUGUGUUUGUGCAAUUAAAAUACAAUUUAUUUUGCUGCGUUUGCUCGUUAUUAUAAUUAAGCCACAAUGACGAUUCACAACUUAUAUAUUUUUGAUCGCUAUGGAACUUUGCUGUACUACGGCGAAUGGAACAGGUCUAAACAAUCGGGGAUGUCGAGAGAGGAAGAAGGCAAGCUGAUGUAUGGCAUGCUGUUUUCAAUCAAAUCCUUUGUAUCUAAGAUUUCCCCACUGGACCCGAAGGACGGAUUCUUGCACUACAAGACUUCAAAAUACACACUACAUUGUCUAGAAACACCAUCAGGAUUAAAAUUUGUCAUGAACACUGACAACCAAGCUCAAGGGGUGCGGGAAUUGUUAAAAAAGAUUUAUGGAGAAAUUUAUGUUCAAUAUGCUAUUAGGAAUCCCCUGUGUGGAAUUGGUGAGCCAAUAACUAGUGAACUAUUUAAAAGCAAACUUGAUGCUUUCAUCAAAACUACUCCAAUUCAUGCAGUGAGAGCUUCAUGAUAGAAAAUAUCAAUAAUUAUAAUAGUUAUUUAUGAUUACAAGUAUUUUAAGGUAUGUGUGUAUUUAAUAUAUGUUAUGUAAUGUGUAAAAAUGUUUUUAUGUUAAGGUUCUUUUAUACUCAUGGAGCUGUAAGAACAGAGGCAACAAAACAGUUUGUGCUCCGCUGCACUACAUAUAGUUAGGCAACUUACUGUAACUCUAAAGCAACAUUAAUUUUGAAUAAAAUUGUAAGCUUUAUUUAUUAAAUGAAUUGUAACAUAA